Saccostrea cuccullata (small rock oyster) is the source of this 698-nucleotide long non-coding RNA. RefSeq lists it as uncharacterized. The record is from RefSeq and is a predicted model, not a curated record. Lineage: Eukaryota; Metazoa; Mollusca; Bivalvia; Ostreida; Ostreidae. The transcript is spliced from 2 exons.
ACUGUGAUACUGUGUGCAUGUGUAUGAGAGAGGGAGGGAGGGAGAAAGAGAGAGUGGGAAGAAAGAGGGGCUAUUGUGACAGCUGAAAAAGAGAUUGUGUGACUCAGGACUGUGAUGAAUUAUUAAUUUAACAUAAUCAGUUCUUACAUUGAAUUUCCAGAAUGGGUUCUAUAAGUUUUCAUCUGAGUAGAUUGUCUAUGUACAUAAAAUGUAUAAUUGAAUACACAUUUGUUUUUGAAAUGUAGCUUUAUAUGUACAUCUACAUGUAGUUUAUAGUACCUACAUGGAUGUAAAUUGUUUUUCUAUGAAAAAAAAAUCCAGAUAUUUUCAAUAUUUGACAUAGUAUUCAUAUUUUUUCACUUUUUGAGGACCUGCUGAAUGUAUUUCCUCAAUGCAUUUUUCAGUAUCAGAAUGUACAAUUUCUUUCAGCCUUAAUGGAAAUAUGGAUCAAUAUAAGGUAUCACAUCUGUUUUAGACAAGUAUGUUCUGUGCCCUAAUAGUUGACUCUACAUUCCUUUAACUGGACUUAAAUCUUAGUACAUGUACUGGUAACUUUAAUUUGUAGAAGAAAUGUCCUUGGACAUCACCUUUACCUGCUGUUUGAAACUUUGUUUUGAACAGUCAAAACUGAUUUUAAUAUUAGCAUAUGUUUCAGUGGACAGAGUAUAAAUACAUGUAAAUUUAUUUAUUAAAAUCUG